This 460-nucleotide ribosomal RNA is filed under the name uncultured bacterium. RNAcentral describes it as "partial 16S ribosomal RNA". It matches the Rfam family "Bacterial small subunit ribosomal RNA", at positions 338 to 795 of the family's 1533-position model. The record is from RNAcentral.
CCUACGGGCGGCAGCAGUGAGGAAUAUUGGUCAAUGGGCGCAAGCCUGAACCAGCCAAGUAGCGUGAAUGAUGACGGCCCUAUGGGUUGUAAACUUCUUUUAUAGGGGAAUAAAGUGCAGUAUGUAUACUGCUGUGCAUGUACCGUAUGAAUAAGGAUCGGCGAACGCCGUGCCAGCAGCCGCGGUAAGACGGAGGAUACGGGCGUUAUCCGGAUUUAUUGGGUUUAAAGGGAGCGUAGGCGGGUUGUUAAGUCAGUUGUGAAAUGUUGCGGGUCAACCGUAAAAUUGCAGUUGAUACUGGCAUCCUUGAGUACGAGAGAGGUAGGCGGAAUUCGUGGGGUAGCGGUGAAAUGCUUAGAUAUUACGAAGAACUCCGAUUGCGAAGGCAGCCUGCUGGACUGUAACUGACGCUGAUGCUCGAAAGUGUGGGUAUCAAACAGGAUUAGAUACCCUAGUAGUC